Molecule: transfer RNA, 73 nt
Filed under: Aedes aegypti (yellow fever mosquito)
Lineage: Eukaryota; Metazoa; Arthropoda; Insecta; Diptera; Culicidae
Description: partial tRNA-OTHER
Source: RNAcentral
GUCUCGGUAGCUUUGUUGGUUAAACACUCGUCUAGCAUACAAGAGUCCUGGGUUCGAAUCUCAGUUGAGCACG